GGUUAAGUGACUAAGCGUACACGGUGGAUGCCUAGGCAGUCAGAGGCGAUGAAGGGCGUGCUAAUCUGCGAAAAGCGUCGGUAAGGUGAUAUGAACCGUUACAACCGGCGAUACCCGAAUGGGGAAACCCAGUGUGUUUCGACACACUAUCAUGUCAUGAAUACAUAGUGGCAUGAGGCGAACCGGGGGAACUGAAACAUCUAAGUACCCCGAGGAAAAGAAAUCAACCGAGAUUCCCCCAGUAGCGGCGAGCGAACGGGGAGGAGCCCAGAACCUGAAUCGGCUUGUGUGUUAGUGGAAGCGUCUGGAAAGUCGCGCAGCAAAGGGUGAUAGCCCCGUACACUAAAAUGCACAGGUCGUGAGUUCGAUGAGUAGGGCGGGACACGUGACAUCCUGUCUGAAUAUGGGGGGACCAUCCUCCAAGGCUAAAUACUCCUGACUGACCGAUAGUGAACCAGUACCGUGAGGGAAAGGCGAAAAGAACCCCGGCGAGGGGAGUGAAAUAGAACCUGAAACCGUGUACGUACAAGCAGUGGGAGCACCUUCGUGGUGUGACUGCGUACCUUUUGUAUAAUGGGUCAGCGACUUAUAUUUUGUAGCAAGGUUAACCGUAUAGGGGAGCCGUAGGGAAACCGAGUCUUAACUGGGCGAAUAGUUGCAAGGUAUAGACCCGAAACCCGGUGAUCUAGCCAUGGGCAGGUUGAAGGUUGGGUAACACUAACUGGAGGACCGAACCGACUAAUGUUGAAAAAUUAGCGGAUGACUUGUGGCUGGGGGUGAAAGGCCAAUCAAACCGGGAGAUAGCUGGUUCUCCCCGAAAGCUAUUUAGGUAGCGCCUCGUGAACUCAUCUUCGGGGGUAGAGCACUGUUUCGGCUAGGGGGCCAUCCCGGCUUACCAAACCGAUGCAAACUCCGAAUACCGAAGAAUGUUAUCACGGGAGACACACGGCGGGUGCUAACGUCCGUCGUGAAGAGGGAAACAACCCAGACCGCCAGCUAAGGUCCCAAAGUCAUGGUUAAGUGGGAAACGAUGUGGGAAGGCAUAGACAGCCAGGAUGUUGGCUUAGAAGCAGCCAUCAUUUAAAGAAAGCGUAAUAGCUCACUGGUCGAGUCGGCCUGCGCGGAAGAUGUAACGGGGCUAAACCAUGCACCGAAGCUGCGGCAGCGACGCUUAGGCGUUGUUGGGUAGGGGAGCGUUCUGUAAGCCGUUGAAGGUGGCCUGUGAGGGUUGCUGGAGGUAUCAGAAGUGCGAAUGCUGACAUAAGUAACGAUAAAGCGGGUGAAAAGCCCGCUCGCCGGAAGACCAAGGGUUCCUGUCCAACGUUAAUCGGGGCAGGGUGAGUCGACCCCUAAGGCGAGGCUGAAAAGCGUAGUCGAUGGGAAACAGGUUAAUAUUCCUGUACUUGGUGUUACUGCGAAGGGGGGACGGAGAAGGCUAGGCUAGCCGGGCGACGGUUGUCCCGGUUUAAGCGUGUAGGGGGUGUGACCUGGUAAAUCCGGUUGCAUAUCAACCCUGAGGCGUGAUGACGAUGCACUACGGUGCAGAAGUAGUUGAUGCCCUGCUUCCAGGAAAAGCCUCUAAGCUCUAGGUAACAUUAAAUCGUACCCCAAACCGACACAGGUGGUCAGGUAGAGAAUACCAAGGCGCUUGAGAGAACUCGGGUGAAGGAACUAGGCAAAAUGGUGCCGUAACUUCGGGAGAAGGCACGCUGGCAUGUAGGUGAAGUCCCUUGCGGAUGGAGCUGAAGCCAGUCGAAGAUACCAGCUGGCUGCAACUGUUUAAUAAAAACACAGCACUGUGCAAACACGAAAGUGGACGUAUACGGUGUGACGCCUGCCCGGUGCUGGAAGGUUAAUUGAUGGGGUCAGCCGCAAGGCGAAGCUCUUGAUCGAAGCCCCAGUAAACGGCGGCCGUAACUAUAACGGUCCUAAGGUAGCGAAAUUCCUUGUCGGGUAAGUUCCGACCUGCACGAAUGGCGUAAUGAUGGCCAGGCUGUCUCCACCCGAGACUCAGUGAAAUUGAACUCGCUGUGAAGAUGCAGUGUACCCGCGGCAAGACGGAAAGACCCCGUGAACCUUUACUAUAGCUUGACACUGAACAUUGAGCCUUGAUGUGUAGGAUAGGUGGGAGGCUUUGAAGCGUGGACGCCAGUCUGCGUGGAGCCAUCCUUGAAAUACCACCCUUUAAUGUUUGAUGUUCUAACUCGGCCCCAUAAUCUGGGGUGAGGACAGUGUCUGGUGGGUAGUUUGACUGGGGCGGUCUCCUCCCAAAGAGUAACGGAGGAGCACGAAGGUUAGCUAAUCACGGUCGGACAUCGUGAGGUUAGUGCAAAGGCAUAAGCUAGCUUGACUGCGAGAGUGACGGCUCGAGCAGGUACGAAAGUAGGUCUUAGUGAUCCGGUGGUUCUGAAUGGAAGGGCCAUCGCUCAACGGAUAAAAGGUACUCCGGGGAUAACAGGCUGAUACCGCCCAAGAGUUCAUAUCGACGGCGGUGUUUGGCACCUCGAUGUCGGCUCAUCACAUCCUGGGGCUGAAGUAGGUCCCAAGGGUAUGGCUGUUCGCCAUUUAAAGUGGUACGCGAGCUGGGUUUAGAACGUCGUGAGACAGUUCGGUCCCUAUCUGCCGUGGGCGUUGGAAGAUUGAGAGGGGUUGCUCCUAGUACGAGAGGACCGGAGUGAACGCACCACUGGUGUUCGGGUUGUCAUGCCAAUGGCAUUGCCCGGUAGCUAAGUGCGGAAAAGAUAAGCGCUGAAAGCAUCUAAGCGCGAAACUUGCCUCAAGAUGAGUCUUCCCUGGGCCUUUAAGG
This 2806-nucleotide ribosomal RNA is filed under the name Serratia marcescens. RNAcentral's name for it is "partial 23S ribosomal RNA". It matches the Rfam family "Bacterial large subunit ribosomal RNA". The record is from RNAcentral. Lineage: Bacteria; Pseudomonadati; Pseudomonadota; Gammaproteobacteria; Enterobacterales; Yersiniaceae.